GACGAGGGGUCCUAGCGUUGUUCGGAAUCACUGGGCGUAAAGCGCAUGUAGGCGGCUUGGUAAGUCAGUUGUGAAAGCCCUGGGCUCAACCCAGGAAGUGCAUCUGAUACUGCUAGGCUUGAAUAUGGGAGAGGGUAGUGGAAUUCCUGGUGUAGUGGUGAAAUACGUAGAUAUCAGGAGGAGCACCGGCGGCGAAGGCGGCCAUCUGGACGGAUACUGACGCUGAGACGCGAAAGCGUGGGGAGCAAACAGG
Molecule: ribosomal RNA, 253 nt
Filed under: uncultured bacterium
Lineage: Bacteria
Description: partial 16S ribosomal RNA
Rfam family: Bacterial small subunit ribosomal RNA
Source: RNAcentral